CCUACGGGUGGCAGCAGUGAGGACUAUUGCUCAAUGGACGCAAGUCUGAACCAGCCAUGCCGCGUGCAGGAAGACGGCUCUAUGAGUUGUAAACUGCUGUUGUACGAGGGUAAACGCAGAUACGCGUAUCUGUCUGAAAGUAUAGUACGAAUUAGGAUCGGGUAACUCCGUGCAAGCAGCCGCGGUAAGCCGGAGGAUUCAAGCGUUAUCCGGAUUUAUGGGGCUUAAAGGGUGCGUAGGGGGUCGGAUAAGUUAGAGGUGAAAGCCCGAGGCUCAACUUCGGAAUUGCCUCGGAUACUGUUCGGCUAGGUAGUAGUAGCGGUAGGCGGAAUGUAUGGUGUAGCGGUGAAAUGCUUAGAUAUCAUACAGAACACCGAUUGCGAAGGCAGCUUACCAAGCUACUUCUGACGUUGAGGCACGAAAGCGUGGGGAGCAAACAGGAUUAGAUACCCCUGUAGUC
Molecule: ribosomal RNA, 460 nt
Filed under: uncultured bacterium
Lineage: Bacteria
Description: partial 16S ribosomal RNA
Rfam family: Bacterial small subunit ribosomal RNA
Source: RNAcentral